UUAAAAUGAGAGUUUGAUCCUGGCUCAGGACGAACGCUGGCGGCGUGCCUAAUACAUGCAAGUCGAGCGAGCGGAACUAACAGAUUUACUUCGGUAAUGACGUUAGGAAAGCGAGCGGCGGAUGGGUGAGUAACACGUGGGGAACCUGCCCCAUAGUCUGGGAUACCACUUGGAAACAGGUGCUAAUACCGGAUAAGAAAGCAGAUCGCAUGAUCAGCUUUUAAAAGGCGGCGUAAGCUGUCGCUAUGGGAUGGCCCCGCGGUGCAUUAGCUAGUUGGUAAGGUAAAGGCUUACCAAGGCGAUGAUGCAUAGCCGAGUUGAGAGACUGAUCGGCCACAUUGGGACUGAGACACGGCCCAA
Molecule: ribosomal RNA, 360 nt
Filed under: Lactobacillus crispatus
Lineage: Bacteria; Bacillati; Bacillota; Bacilli; Lactobacillales; Lactobacillaceae
Description: bacterial SSU rRNA
Rfam family: Bacterial small subunit ribosomal RNA
Source: RNAcentral